UUUCCCUACGGGAGGCAGCAGUGGGGAAUAUUGCACAAUGGGGGAAACCCUGAUGAAGCGACGCCGAGUGAGCGAAGAAGUAUUUCGGUAUGUAAAGCUCUAUCAGCAGGGAAGAAAAAAAUGACGGUACGUGACUAAGAAGCCCCGGCUAACUACGUGCCAGCAGCCGCGGUAAUACGUAGGGGGCAAGCGUUAUCCGGAUUUACUGGGUGUAAAGGGAGCGUAGAGGGCAGAGCAAGUCUGAAGUGAAAGCCCGCGGCCCAACUGC
RNAcentral lists this ribosomal RNA (268 nucleotides) under uncultured bacterium. RNAcentral describes it as "partial 16S ribosomal RNA". It matches the Rfam family "Bacterial small subunit ribosomal RNA", at positions 334 to 616 of the family's 1533-position model. The record is from RNAcentral.